GAUGAACGCUGGCGGCGUGCCUAACACAUGCAAGUCGAACGGAGUCCAGCCUUAGAGACCUUCGGGUCAAAGAGGGGAAGACUGAGUGGCGGACGGGUGAGUAACACGUGGGCAACCUGGCUCAUAGAGGGGGAUAACAGAGAGAAAUUUCUGCUAAUACCGCAUAAGCACACACUGCCGCAUGGCAGCGUGUGAAAAGAGAAUCGCUAUGAGAUGGACCCGCGUCUGAUUAGCCAGUUGGCAGGGUAAGAGCCUACCAAAGCGACGAUCAGUAGCCGAUUUGAGAGGAUGAACGGCCACAUUGGGACUGAGACACGGCCCAAACUCCUACGGGAGGCAGCAGUGGGGGAUAUUGCACAAUGGGGGGAACCCUGAUGCAGCGACGCCGCGUGAGUGAAGAAGUAUUUCGGUAUGUAAAGCUCUAUCAGCAGGGAAGAUAAUGACAGUACCUGAAUAAGAAGCCCCGGCUAACUACGUG
Molecule: ribosomal RNA, 478 nt
Filed under: uncultured bacterium
Lineage: Bacteria
Description: partial 16S ribosomal RNA
Rfam family: Bacterial small subunit ribosomal RNA
Source: RNAcentral